This 618-nucleotide ribosomal RNA is filed under the name Salmonella enterica subsp. enterica serovar Muenchen. RNAcentral's name for it is "partial 23S ribosomal RNA". It matches the Rfam family "Bacterial large subunit ribosomal RNA", at positions 711 to 1242 of the family's 2925-position model. The record is from RNAcentral. RNAcentral also lists the same sequence under 4 other names. Lineage: Bacteria; Pseudomonadati; Pseudomonadota; Gammaproteobacteria; Enterobacterales; Enterobacteriaceae.
AGACCCGAAACCCGGUGAUCUAGCCAUGGGCAGGUUGAAGGUUGGGUAACACUAACUGGAGGACCGAACCGACUAAUGUUGAAAAAUUAGCGGAUGACCUGUGGCUGGGGGUGAAAGGCCAAUCAAACCGGGAGAUAGCUGGUUCUCCCCGAAAGCUAUUUAGGUAGCGCCUCGUGAAUUCAUCUCCGGGGGUAGAGCACUGUUUCGGCUAGGGGGCCAUCCCGGCUUACCAACCCGAUGCAAACUGCGAAUACCGGAGAAUGUUAUCACGGGAGACACACGGCGGGUGCUAACGUCCGUCGUGAAGAGGGAAACAACCCAGACCGCCAGCUAAGGUCCCAAAGUCAUGGUUAAGUGGGAAACGAUGUGGGAAGGCCCAGACAGCCAGGAUGUUGGCUUAGAAGCAGCCAUCAUUUAAAGAAAGCGUAAUAGCUCACUGGUCGAGUCGGCCUGCGCGGAAGAUGUAACGGGGCUAAACCAUGCACCGAAGCUGCGGCAGCGAACGUAUCACCCAAGACAACUUUACGGAGUUGACGAUUGACGGAGCGAAGCGACGUCAAAGCGUUCAUUAAAGUCGAGUUGGCUUAGGGAUACGUUCGUUGGGUAGGGGAGCGUUCU